AGUGAACGCUGGCGGUAGGCCUAACACAUGCAAGUCGAACGGCAGCACAGGAGAGCUUGCUCUCUGGGUGGCGAGCGGCGGACGGGUGAGGAAUACAUCGGAAUCUACUCUGUCGUGGGGGAUAACGUAGGGAAACUUACGCUAAUACCGCAUACGACCUACGGGUGAAAGCAGGGGAUCUUCGGACCUUGCGCGAUUGAAUGAGCCGAUGUCGGAUUAGCUAGUUGGCGGGGUAAAGGCCCACCAAGGCGACGAUCCGUAGCUGGUCUGAGAAGAUGAUCAGCCACACUGGAACUGAGACACGGUCCAGACUCCUACGGGAGGCAGCAGUGGGGAAUAUUGGACAAUGGGCGCAAGCCUGAUCCAGCCAUACCGCGUGGGUGAAGAAGGCCUUCGGGUUGUAAAGCCCUUUUGUUGGGAAAGAAAUCCAGCUGGCUAAUACCCGGUUGGGAUGACGGUACCCAAAGAAUAAGCACCGGCUAACUUCGUGCCAGCCGCCGCCGUAA
Molecule: ribosomal RNA, 506 nt
Filed under: uncultured bacterium
Lineage: Bacteria
Description: partial 16S ribosomal RNA
Rfam family: Bacterial small subunit ribosomal RNA
Source: RNAcentral